Molecule: long non-coding RNA, 919 nt
Filed under: Cyanistes caeruleus (blue tit)
Lineage: Eukaryota; Metazoa; Chordata; Aves; Passeriformes; Paridae
Description: lncRNA (ENSCCEG00000010714.1)
Source: RNAcentral
CCUAAUUUAGGUAUCUGAAUUUGGUACUUAAAAUUAAGCAGACUCAACCCUCACUAGAGUACUUUUUGAGGUCCUGACACUGCUGGUGGCUUUCCACAAAGACAAAGAUCAUUGGAUCAUUCUUCUGUUAAGUAAUCUUGAUUGCUGAGCAACAAAAAAAUGUUCUUCCUCUUAUCCAUGCCUUUGGUUUACAGGAUAAAAAAUUGUAAAUACAGGUAUAAAUUAUAUCCCUACAAGGCCUUUUGGUGGAAAAUUUCAUGGACAGGUUUCCCAGAGAGGUAACCAAAGCUUAACAUCCUCAUCUUCCAGCUUCUGGGACCCAGUGUUUCUUUUGCUAUGAACCAUUUUGUCCUUCCCUUUCAUACCAAACCUCCUCCUUGUCUCCCAAGAGCUGUAAGAGUUCUCUGCCACUCAUGAUUCUGUUCUCUUCUCAGAACACACGAGGACUGGGCCUGGUCUGCACCCGAGCCUGCCCAUGGCAAGGUCCAUCAGGCACUUCAGCAUCGGUGUUUCUGCAGGAGGCAGCUCCUGGCAAGUCUGAGGCCAGAAGGAAAGAUGCCCAUCAGCCUUCCCAGCCUAGUCCUGCCUUUUCACCUCUGAUCAGUCAGCUCUUCAACAUCCUGUCUGGAGGAUGCCACUCACCCCCUGUUAGAUUGAGAAGGUGUUGCCAAUGGACUGAAAAUCGUCUCCUUUUCCUGGGAAUUCUGAGCAAUCUCCCUGGAGGAGCUGCUUCACCACCACUGCUUCCUAAGAGAUGUUCUUCCCUGGAGCAACACGAGUUUGUGCAGGUGAAAAUCAUGGUGCAACCUCCUUGCAGAUUUUCACAUUUCCAGCUGUCUUGCAGGAAGCCUGAACAACUCAGGAUGCCAAGGUACAGCCAGAACCCUGGGCUCAUUUGUUCCACAGAAGUUUAUUGCUG